UGGGGAAUUUUGGACAAUGGGCGAAAGCCUGAUCCAGCAAUGCCGCGUGUGUGAAGAAGGCCUUCGGGUUGUAAAGCACUUUUGUCCGGAAAGAAAUCCUUGGCUCUAAUACAGUCGGGGGAUGACGGUACCGGAAGAAUAAGCACCGGCUAACUACGUGCCAGCAGCCGCGGUAAUACGUAGGGUGCAAGCGUUAAUCGGAAUUACUGGGCGUAAAGCGUGCGCAGGCGGUUUGCUAAGACCGAUGUGAAAUCCCCGGGCUCAACCUGGGAACUGCAUUGGUGACUGGCAGGCUAGAGUAUGGCAGAGGGGGGUAGAAUUCCACGUGUAGCAGUGAAAUGCGUAGAGAUGUGGAGGAAUACCGAUGGCGAAGGCAGCCCCCUGGGCCAAUACUGACGCUCAUGCACGAAAGCGUGGGGAGCAAACAGGAUUAGAUACCCUGGGUAGUCCACGCCCUAAACGAUGUCAACUAGUUGUUGGGGAUUCAUUUCCUUAGUAACGUAGCUAACGCGUGAAGUUGACCGCCUGGGGAGUACGGUCGCAAGAUUAAAACUCAAAGGAAUUGACGGGGUCAUAGCUG
Molecule: ribosomal RNA, 580 nt
Filed under: uncultured bacterium
Lineage: Bacteria
Description: partial 16S ribosomal RNA
Rfam family: Bacterial small subunit ribosomal RNA
Source: RNAcentral